RNAcentral lists this ribosomal RNA (200 nucleotides) under uncultured organism. RNAcentral's name for it is "partial small subunit ribosomal RNA". It matches the Rfam family "Bacterial small subunit ribosomal RNA", at positions 1184 to 1382 of the family's 1533-position model. The record is from RNAcentral.
GUCAAGUCAGCAUGGCCCUGACGCCCUGGGCGACACACACGCUACAAUGGCCGGGACAGUGGGCAGCCAAGCGGUAACGCGGAGCCAAUCCCCCAAACCCGGUCUCAGUUCAGAUCGAGGGCUGCAACUCGCCCUCGUGAAGGCGGAGUUGCUAGUAACCGCAGGUCAGCACUACUGCGGUGAAUAUGUUCCCGGGCCUU